RNAcentral lists this long non-coding RNA (295 nucleotides) under Vitis vinifera (wine grape). RNAcentral's name for it is "long non-coding RNA (VVIN_LNC004539)". Lineage: Eukaryota; Viridiplantae; Streptophyta; Magnoliopsida; Vitales; Vitaceae. The record is from RNAcentral.
UUUCGGCUUGACAGGAGCUGCUUUCGACUUGGCAGCAGCCUUCGGUUUGGUGGUAGCCUUAGGCUUCGGCUUAGCUGCAGCUUUCGGCUUCGCUGGUGCUUUCGCAGGCUUUGUUGGCUUCGGUUUUGCUGCGGCGGGCUUCUUAGCUGCCUUCGAUGGGGCCGAUCGAGAACUCGGAAGUUUGUACGAGUUCUUCACCUUCACGAGCUUUUCAGAAGCCACGAGCUUCUUCAAAUGCACGAGCAAAAGCUUCCUGAAAUUCGAAGGCAACUUCUUGUGCUUCUCUUCAAUGAAC